Molecule: long non-coding RNA, 217 nt
Organism: Lolium rigidum
Lineage: Eukaryota; Viridiplantae; Streptophyta; Magnoliopsida; Poales; Poaceae
Exons: 3
Source: RefSeq, a predicted model, not a curated record
GGAUUGUGCAGUUGGAGAAUUUGUUCAGAUUGGGGUUGGGUGUCCAGGAGAUUCACCGACAGUAGCACCAGCCAUCAUUGGUUUUUAUGGACUCCAUGGCUGUUCUAGGAAAGGAGCGAAAGGGUGAUUUUUUUGGAGGGUCUGAUCAUUGUUGUUCUGCUUGAUUAGCACAACAAUAGGGUUGCUCCCUCCUGUAAAGUAUCGACCACAUCUAUGC